GAUGAACGCUGGCGGCGUGCUUAACACAUGCAAGUCGAACGGAAAGGCUCCUGCUUGCAGGGGUACUCGAUUGGCGAACGGGUGAGUAACACGUGUGUGAUCUGCCCUGCACUUCGGGAUAUGCCUGGGAAACUGGGUCUAUUACCGGAUAGGACGAUUGUUUGGAUGCCAUUGUGGAAAGUUGUGCGGUGUUGGCUGAGCUCGAGGCCUAUCAGCUUGUUGGUGGGGUAAUGGCCUACCAAGGCGUCGACGGGUAGCCGGCCUGAGAGGGUGGACGGCCUCAUUGGGACUGAGGUACGGACCAGACGCCUACGGGAGGCAGCAGUGGGGAAUAUUGCACAAUGGGCGCAAGCCUGAUGCAGCGACGCCGCGUGGGGGAUGACGGCCUUCGAGUGGUAAACUCCUUUCGCUAGGAACGAAGCGCAAGUGACGGUACCUAGAGAAGAAGCACCGGCUAACUACGUG
RNAcentral lists this ribosomal RNA (465 nucleotides) under uncultured bacterium. RNAcentral describes it as "partial 16S ribosomal RNA". It matches the Rfam family "Bacterial small subunit ribosomal RNA", at positions 28 to 507 of the family's 1533-position model. The record is from RNAcentral.